This 258-nucleotide ribosomal RNA is filed under the name uncultured bacterium. RNAcentral describes it as "partial small subunit ribosomal RNA". It matches the Rfam family "Bacterial small subunit ribosomal RNA", at positions 26 to 288 of the family's 1533-position model. The record is from RNAcentral.
AGGACGAACGCUGGCGGCGUGCUUAACACAUGCAAGUCGAGCGGAAAGGCCCUUCGGGGUACUCGAGCGGCGAACGGGUGAGUAACACGUGAGCAACCUGCCCCUGGCUCUGGGAUAGCCUCCGGAAACGGGGAUUAAUACCGGACAUUCUCCUUCUUCCGCAUGGUUGAGGGUGGAAAGUUUUUCGGCCGGGGAGGGGCUCGCGGCCUAUCAGCUUGUUGGCGGGGUAACGGCCCACCAAGGCGACGACGGGUAGCC